RNAcentral lists this ribosomal RNA (722 nucleotides) under uncultured Cytophagales bacterium. RNAcentral's name for it is "bacterial SSU rRNA". It matches the Rfam family "Bacterial small subunit ribosomal RNA", at positions 55 to 774 of the family's 1533-position model. The record is from RNAcentral. Lineage: Bacteria; Pseudomonadati; Bacteroidota; Sphingobacteriia; Sphingobacteriales.
AUGCAAGUCGAGGGGCAGCAUUUACUUCGGUAAAUGGCGACCGGCGCACGGGUGAGUAACGCGUAUGCAACCUACCUUUAACUGGGGCAUAGCUCGAGGAAACUCGAAUUAAUUCCCCAUAGUACAUUAUAAUAUCUCAUGAUAUAAAUGUUAAAGAUUUAUCGGUUAAAGAUGGGCAUGCGUCUGAUUAGUUUGUUGGUAAGGUAACGGCUUACCAAGACUACGAUCAGUAGGGGGUCUGAGAGGAUGAUCCCCCACACUGGUACUGAGACACGGACCAGACAUCUACGGAUGGCAGCAGUAAGGAAUAUUGGGCAAUGGGCGCAAGCCUGACCCAGCCAUGCCGCGUGCAGGAUGACGACCCUAUGGGUUGUAAACUGCUUUUAUAUAGGAAGAAAAUACUCUUGCGAGAGGAUCUGACGGUACUAUAUGAAUAAGGACCGGCUAACUCCGUGCCAGCAGCCGCGGUAAUACGGAGGGUUCAAGCGUUUUCCGGAUUUAUUGGGUUUAAAGAGUGCGUAGGUGGUUUAUUAAGUCAGUGGUGAAAUCCUGCAGCUCAACUGUAGAACUGCCAUUGAUACUGGUAAACUUGAGUUUGGUUUAGGUAAGCGGAAUUUAUGAUGUAGCGGUGAAAUGCAUAGAUAUCAUAAGGAACACCAAUAGCGAAGGCAGCUUACUGGACCAUAACUGACACUGAGGCACGAAAGCGUGGGUAGCGAACA